This 261-nucleotide unclassified non-coding RNA is filed under the name air metagenome. Its description in RNAcentral is "partial contains small subunit ribosomal RNA, internal transcribed spacer 1, and 5.8S ribosomal RNA". The stretch from base 1 to 46 matches the Rfam family "Eukaryotic small subunit ribosomal RNA", at positions 1786 to 1831 of the family's 1831-position model. The record is from RNAcentral.
AAGUCGUAACAAGGUUUCCGUAGGUGAACCUGCGGAAGGAUCAUUACCGAGAGAGGGGCUUCGUGCCCCCGGGGGUUUCGGCCCCCAACUCUUCACCCUUUGCGUAUCUACCUUUGUUGCUUUGGCGGACCCGAGGAACCUCUCGCUCCGGCUCUUAGGUCGGUGAGCGUCCGUCAGAGGCCCAUUUAAUUCUACUUAUUCGUGAUGUCCGAGUCCAAACACAAUGAAUAAAAACUUUCAACAACGGAUCUCUUGGUUCCA